GCUGCUAUGGUGUAACUGGUACACACACUGCUCUUAUGAAGCAGUGCUGAUCAUCUCGGUUCGAAUCCGAGUAGCGGCA
This 79-nucleotide transfer RNA is filed under the name Punica granatum (pomegranate). It matches the Rfam family "tRNA". Rfam says of the family: Transfer RNA (tRNA) molecules are approximately 80 nucleotides in length. Their secondary structure includes four short double-helical elements and three loops (D, anti-codon, and T loops). Further hydrogen bonds mediate the characteristic L-shaped molecular structure. tRNAs have two regions of fundamental functional importance: the anti-codon, which is responsible for specific mRNA codon recognition, and the 3' end, to which the tRNAs corresponding amino acid is attached (by aminoacyl-tRNA synthetases). tRNAs cope with the degeneracy of the genetic code in two manners: having more than one tRNA (with a specific anti-codon) for a particular amino acid; and 'wobble' base-pairing, i.e. permitting non-standard base-pairing at the 3rd anti-codon position. Lineage: Eukaryota; Viridiplantae; Streptophyta; Magnoliopsida; Myrtales; Lythraceae. The record is from Rfam by way of RNAcentral.